This 208-nucleotide ribosomal RNA is filed under the name uncultured bacterium. RNAcentral's name for it is "partial 16S ribosomal RNA". It matches the Rfam family "Bacterial small subunit ribosomal RNA", at positions 568 to 775 of the family's 1533-position model. The record is from RNAcentral.
CGCGUAGGCGGUCAGGUCAGUCCCGUGUGAAAUCCCUCGGCUCAACUGAGGAACUGCACGGGAAACUGCCUGGCUUGAGUUCGGGAGAGGGAAGCGGAAUUCCGGGUGUAGCGGUGAAAUGCGUAGAUAUCCGGAGGAACACCGGUGGCGAAGGCGGCUUCCUGGACCGACACUGACGCUGAGGCGCGAAAGCUAGGGGAGCAAACGG